GUGGGGCUGCUCUCACCUGAGGAGUGAGA
Molecule: non-coding RNA, 29 nt
Filed under: Cricetulus griseus (Chinese hamster)
Lineage: Eukaryota; Metazoa; Chordata; Mammalia; Rodentia; Cricetidae
Source: RNAcentral